Molecule: ribosomal RNA, 510 nt
Filed under: Microbacteriaceae bacterium HS7
Lineage: Bacteria; Bacillati; Actinomycetota; Actinomycetes; Micrococcales; Microbacteriaceae
Description: bacterial SSU rRNA
Rfam family: Bacterial small subunit ribosomal RNA
Source: RNAcentral
UGGAGAGUUUGAUCCUGGCUCAGGACGAACGCUGGCGGCGUGCUUAACACAUGCAAGUCGAACGCUGAAGCCCCAGCUUGCUGGGGUGGAUGAGUGGCGAACGGGUGAGUAACACGUGAGUAACCUGCCCAUCACUCUGGGAUAAGCGCUGGAAACGGCGUCUAAUACUGGAUACGAGCAGCGACCGCAUGGUCAGCUGCUGGAAAGACUGGUUCGGUGAUGGAUGGACUCGCGGCCUAUCAGCUUGUUGGUGAGGUAAUGGCUCACCAAGGCGACGACGGGUAGCCGGCCUGAGAGGGUGACCGGCCACACUGGGACUGAGACACGGCCCAGACUCCUACGGGAGGCAGCAGUGGGGAAUAUUGCACAAUGGGCGCAAGCCUGAUGCAGCAACGCCGCGUGAGGGAUGACGGCCUUCGGGUUGUAAACCUCUUUUAGUAGGGAAGAAGCCUUCGGGUGACGGUACCUGCAGAAAAAGCACCGGCUAACUACGUGCCAGCAGCCGCGGUA